AUUGAACGCUGGCGGCAUGCCUUACACAUGCAAGUCGAACGGCAGCACGGGAGCAAUCCUGGUGGCGAGUGGCGAACGGGUGAGUAAUAUAUCGGAACGUGCCCAGUCGUGGGGAUAACGUAGCGAAAGCUACGCUAAUACCGCAUACGAUCUACGGAUGAAAGCGGGGGAUCGCAAGACCUCGCGCGAUUGGAGCGGCCGAUAUCAGAUUAGGUAGUUGGUGAGGUAAAGGCUCACCAAGCCGACGAUCUGUAGCUGGUCUGAGAGGACGACCAACCACACUGGGACUGAGACACGGCCCAGACUCCUACGGGAGGCAGCAGUGGGGAAUUUUGGACAAUGGGCGCAAGCCUGAUCCAGCAAUGCCGCGCGCAGGAUGAAGGCCU
This 386-nucleotide ribosomal RNA is filed under the name uncultured bacterium. Its description in RNAcentral is "bacterial SSU rRNA". It matches the Rfam family "Bacterial small subunit ribosomal RNA", at positions 30 to 417 of the family's 1533-position model. The record is from RNAcentral.